UACAGAGGGUGCGAGCGUUAAUCGGAAUUACUGGGCGUAAAGCGUGCGUAGACGGUUAUUUAAGUCGGGUGUGAAAGCCCCGGGCUCAACCUGGGAAUUGCAUUCGAGACUGAAUAGCUAGGGUACGGUAGAGGGAAGCGGAAUUUCCGGUGUAGCGGUGAAAUGCGUAGAUAUCGGAAGGAACACCGGUGGCGAAGGCGGCUUUCUGGACGAUAACUGACGCUGAGACGCGAAAGCGUGGGGAGCAAACAGG
This 253-nucleotide ribosomal RNA is filed under the name uncultured bacterium. Its description in RNAcentral is "partial 16S ribosomal RNA". It matches the Rfam family "Bacterial small subunit ribosomal RNA", at positions 524 to 776 of the family's 1533-position model. The record is from RNAcentral.